GAUCUGAUAGCUCAGCUGGGAGAGCACCAUCUUGACAGGGUGGGGGUCACAGGUUCGAAUCCUGUUCAGAUCACCA
This 76-nucleotide transfer RNA is filed under the name Cohnella laeviribosi. RNAcentral's name for it is "tRNA-Val". It matches the Rfam family "tRNA". Rfam says of the family: Transfer RNA (tRNA) molecules are approximately 80 nucleotides in length. Lineage: Bacteria; Bacillati; Bacillota; Bacilli; Caryophanales; Paenibacillaceae. The record is from RNAcentral. RNAcentral also lists the same sequence under 1 other name.